RNAcentral lists this long non-coding RNA (1122 nucleotides) under Elaeis guineensis (African oil palm). RNAcentral's name for it is "long non-coding RNA (EGUI_LNC012053)". The record is from RNAcentral. Lineage: Eukaryota; Viridiplantae; Streptophyta; Magnoliopsida; Arecales; Arecaceae.
AAAGACAGCAGCAAACUGCAACAGAAGCUUUCCGUGAGCUUGAUGAGGCCAUGAUCGAAGUGGUGCUAGGUUGGAGCAGCAGUGUCAGGUCGGAGGUUGCGGAGAGCUCGGCCUAUAGCUGCCUCAGUGUGGCCACUGACGCAGACCUCACCAUCGCGAUGGAGGUUGGUGCUGCAGCCGUGGCAGCACUUGAGGGGAAGCUCGGAGCUGCUCGUAGGGGAGGUCCUCAGCACCAUCCGGGGCUCGGACGAGUGAGGUGACCCCGUAUCCACUCGAUGCCAGUGCCAUCAAUGGUGAGAUGCGAGCGGGGAGAGCUUGGAGGCUCGGAUCCGGCGAGGUCGACGUAGAUAGAAGGGAGGCGUGUGGGGGAACACGUCGGAAGCCCGGAUCUCAGGGCAUCGACACCAACAGGAGUUCUCAGGUCCAUCCAUUGGUGACCUGGAUGCAUCUGCCGAUGAGAUCAGUGGUGACAAGCUUGCGACGGCCGCCAAAUGCAGAAGGAAUGGAUAGGGGCUUCGGAACUGCUCGGGGGAGAGUUCCUUGGCGCUGUCGGAGGUGAGGCACGGGCGUGGCGAGCUCGGAGGUGCUCGUGGGUGAGUUCCCCAGCGCUGACGGAGGUGAGACAUGGGGGAGGCUUCAGAGCCUCUCGAACAGGCGGCUUCGGCCGUGCUGGGGGACUUCAGAAGCUCGGAUCCGGUGAGCUUGGUGCCUCAGAGCACCUUGGGAGCUUGGAUCCGGCAAGCUCGGUGCCAUUGAAAGCCAGGUGCACACAAAGAAGACCUUAGGGCCGCGGAUCCGGGGACCUCGGCUCGUGUGGGGAGGAAGUCAAGGCUGGAGCUCGAAGGGACCGGCGUUGUCAAUCGAAGGGAGCUGGGCGCACAGAGGCAGCCACGGGGGUCGUCGUGACAGACACCGGCCACGCAGGAGACCCCGAACGCAUUGGAGAACGAGGGACGCACAGGGGAGGCUCGUGGCCUCCCCCUCCUCCUCUUCUUCUUCACCGACGGGCCUCGAGGUUGGUCGAGCGCACGCUAGGUGCACGGGGGAGGCGUGAGGCCACCAGUGCCGGCCUUGGCACAGGCUGAAGAGGCUUGAGGUCACCGCGAGGGACGUCGGCCGGGC